AACGAACGCUGGCGGCAGGCCUAACACAUGCAAGUCGAACGGGACCUUCGGGUCUAGUGGCGGACGGGUGAGUAACGCGUGGGAACGUGCCCUCUGGUUCGGAAUAGCCCUGGGAAACUGGGAGUAAUACCGGAUACGGUCGAGAGACGAAAGAUUUAUCGCCGAAGGAUCGGCCCGCGUUGGAUUAGGUAGUUGGUGGGGUAAUGGCCUACCAAGCCGACGAUCCAUAGCUGGUUUGAGAGGAUGAUCAGCCACACUGGGACUGAGACACGGCCCAGACUCCUACGGGAGGCAGCAGUGGGGAAUCUUAGACAAUGGGGGAAACCCUGAUCUAGCCAUGCCGCGUGAGCGAUGAAGGCCUUAGGGUUGUAAAGCUCUUUCAGUGGGGAAGAUAAUGACGGUACCCACAGAAGAAGCCCCGGCUAACUCCGUGCCAGCAGCCGCGGUAA
This 449-nucleotide ribosomal RNA is filed under the name uncultured bacterium. Its description in RNAcentral is "partial 16S ribosomal RNA". It matches the Rfam family "Bacterial small subunit ribosomal RNA", at positions 29 to 523 of the family's 1533-position model. The record is from RNAcentral.